Molecule: ribosomal RNA, 147 nt
Filed under: uncultured bacterium
Lineage: Bacteria
Description: partial 16S ribosomal RNA
Rfam family: Bacterial small subunit ribosomal RNA
Source: RNAcentral
GGGCGCAAGCCUGAUGGAGCAACACCGCGUGAGUGAAGAAGGGUUUCGGCUCGUAAAGCUCUGUUGUUGGAGAAAGAACGUUGCGUGAAGAGUAACUGUUCACGCAGUGACGGUAUCCAACCAGAAAGUCACGGCUAACUACGUGCC